Molecule: long non-coding RNA, 2069 nt
Organism: Acanthopagrus latus (yellowfin seabream)
Lineage: Eukaryota; Metazoa; Chordata; Actinopteri; Spariformes; Sparidae
Exons: 2
Source: RefSeq, a predicted model, not a curated record
GUGGAUGUGGUAAGAAGGGAGGGUGGGUGAGAGGGGUGGAGGAGACGGGGGGAGGAACAAGGCAUGAAAAUGUUACCUAAGAAGUCUAAAAAUUGUCUGGAGCCCAGAGGAAGGGAUUUGAUUUGGGGUUUUUUUUCUUUCUUUUUCAUAGGUGGAGGUGAAGCUGUGUUAUGAGUGAGUGAGUGAGUGAAGCGAUGGAUCAAGUAGCUCCACAUGAUUCCAUACUCAUGGAGGUUUUGAUGGGUGAUGUUGUGGUUGUUAUUGUCUUAAUGAUGAUUAGUACUAUCACACAGGAAGCCGAUAAACCAUAUCAUUGUUCCCAGCAGAGCCCUCGCGACAGCAGGAAGUGACACCCCGAGGUUUCUUCUGUGAUUUAAAUAAACAAACAACAACAAACCCUACACGGCUGUACAGUCCCACAGCUAACACAGCACACCAAGCUGCCUGGACGGAGGAGAUAAAGAUGGCGGACCCUCAGACCGAGACGUGGUCACUCCAUGGUUGUUCAGCAGACAGAAACAGAUUCCCACAGAUGGCGGUUUGACCUCUGAGUCAAACCUGUGACUAUUCACCAUUCGGGCAAGAGUCGGGGGUCAAGUUUAGGCCGCCGUGACCACAUAAAGAAACCAGAACCAGACCCCGACCUAGUCUUAAUCCUCCCUUCUUCCCCAGAGAGUUCCUCUCCUCCCCAUAAGCUGUGAAAAGGAGUGCCACUCUGCUCCUGUUACACAGCCAUGGUGGAGACGGCACUCUGAGCGCCAUGUUAAUGCAUGAUUUAACGUGUUAACCAGCACCAGAGAUUCAUUUGAAAUGAGCUAAGCACUUGUUAGUGCGUGUACGUGUGUUUGUGAGAGCAAAACAGACAUGCAGAUGAUGGUAGAGUUUACACAGCAAGUAUUAGUAAGCUAUGGUUAGAGGAAACAAAUCGCUACAGGGUUGAGUUAGCUUCAAUGGGAGGGCAAGUGUUGGGGGAGGGGAAUUGGAGAUAUUUUCUCUGCAACACCACAAUAAAAACCUGCUUAAAAAGACAAAAAAAUGUAUAACACGAAACAAAAAAGUAACACAACAUUCAGGCAUUCAAUGUGUGAACUGGGAUGAAGCUACAGAAGGGGAGAAAAGCUUUCUGGGCAGAAAGGACAGCUGAGUUUUGAAAGAUCAAGGUGAAGCCAACAUGGCAAAAAAAAUCAAACAACUGAAGCAGGAAAACCACUUUGCAGCCAACAAGCUUCACAAAUAAUAAUGUGCAAACUUUACCUCUUUUUAAAAUAGCCAACGCUGCAAACCUUUCAGUGGUACUACCAGCAAGCGGUUUGCAUCAAAACAGCACUAACCACUAGGCAGGAUGUGCAACAACGAAUCACACAUCUUGCGUAACAUCUGCCGCUCGCCUACUUUGAGCAACAAUUCACACCUUACAACAUUUGCUACCAACAUGAAACAGCGAUAUCUAUUGAGCGAGAGCGAGAGUACUUUAUCAGAGGAGACAGAAGAGAUGCUUCUGCGCCUGACAGGUUGUCAAAGAUUUAAAACCACCACCCUGCGCAGCUAGAAGAAGGAGGAAGGUUGCCUUUAAAUCAUGAUUCCCGGUGAGAAUAAUAAUUGUUCUUUGUGACAGUUUUUUUGUUGAGCUGAGCUGAGAUCACGUAGCUCUGGGUAAAUAUACAUACUCAGAAAUCAUCUCCAAAGGAGGGCGGAAGGGUAUUAAAAAUGGAUCGAGCUCCCUGGUCUGAAAAGUGAAACCUUAGGCCCCAAUUCUUUCCAACAGCCAGCAGGGGGGUGAUACUGAUAUAUCUGUGACAGGUCGAUAUUUAAUCGAUAUAUCAAAUACGGUCACUUCUGACUCCAAAAGACCAAGAUGGUGACAGCUAUAACGUCAAACUCAAGGCUUUAAAAUGGAAGUCCACAUACCAAUGGGCGAUGGCAGAGUUACACUUGGAUCUAAGGAAGUUCUUUAUGUCAUGACACUAUGAAAUAUUUAGCUUAAACCACCAGCUUAUACACACUGUCUGAUGGACUCAGAUGAAUUGUCAAUGGUGUGCCCUGAGGCUACUGGGUGUUCAUGUACAAAA